Molecule: ribosomal RNA, 360 nt
Filed under: uncultured eukaryote
Lineage: Eukaryota
Description: partial 18S ribosomal RNA
Rfam family: Eukaryotic small subunit ribosomal RNA
Source: RNAcentral
CAAUAGCAUAUAUUAACGUUGUUGCAGUUGAAAAGCUCGUAGUUGAACUUUUGGUAGGAGCGACCUGGCCUUGGGCGCAUGCCCUUGUUUGCCGUGUGUCGUAUCUGGCCAUCCUUUUCCGUUUCGGCGGGAAUCCUUUACUGUGAGUAAACUGGAGUGCUCAAAACAAGACGUUUGUUUGGUACAUUAAAGCAUGGAAUAAUAAGAUAGGACCUGGUUACUAUUUUGUUGGUUUGCAUAGCUAGGUAAUGAUUAACAGGGACAGUUGGGGGUAUUCGUAUUUAAUUGUCAGAGGUGAAAUUCUUGGAUUUAUGAAAGACGAACGACUGCGAAAGCAUUUACCAAGGAUGUUUUCAUUAA